Molecule: ribosomal RNA, 496 nt
Filed under: uncultured bacterium
Lineage: Bacteria
Description: partial 16S ribosomal RNA
Rfam family: Bacterial small subunit ribosomal RNA
Source: RNAcentral
GAUGAACGCUGGCGGCGUGCCUAAUACAUGCAAGUCGAGCGAACGGACGAGAAGCUUGCUUCUCUGAUGUUAGCGGCGGACGGGUGAGUAACACGUGGAUAACCUACCUAUAAGACUGGGAUAACUUCGGGAAACCGGAGCUAAUACCGGAUAAUAUUUUGAACCGCAUGGUUCAAAAGUGAAAGACGGUCUUGCUGUCACUUAUAGAUGGAUCCGCGCUGCAUUAGCUAGUUGGUAAGGUAACGGCUUACCAAGGCAACGAUGCAUAGCCGACCUGAGAGGGUGAUCGGCCACACUGGAACUGAGACACGGUCCAGACUCCUACGGGAGGCAGCAGUAGGGAAUCUUCCGCAAUGGGCGAAAGCCUGACGGAGCAACGCGGCGUGAGUGAUGAAGGUCUUCGGAUCGUAAAACUCUGUUAUUAGGGAAGAACAUAUGUGUAAGUAACUGUGCACAUCUGGACGGUACCUAAGCAGAAAGCCACGGCUAACUACGU